Trachymyrmex cornetzi is the source of this 72-nucleotide non-coding RNA. Lineage: Eukaryota; Metazoa; Arthropoda; Insecta; Hymenoptera; Formicidae. The record is from Rfam.
UAAAUUAUGAAAUUGAUUGGUCCGUGUUACUGAUUUAUUAGUGAUUAAUUUUGUAUCCAAUCUCUGACUAAU